This is a long non-coding RNA of Drosophila subobscura, 235 nucleotides long. RefSeq lists it as uncharacterized. NCBI's taxonomy places the organism in Eukaryota, Metazoa, Arthropoda, Insecta, Diptera, Drosophilidae. The transcript is spliced from 3 exons. The record is from RefSeq and is a predicted model, not a curated record.
GGCCCCGGUGUGUGUCCGUUCAGUGUGUCAGUCAGUCUUUGCGGUUGCAACGCGACGGUCGACCCGAACCAAGCCCCAGAAACAUCACAUCACCACCCAGUGCUCCACAAGGAGCAGAACGGACGGGCAACGGGACAGUGCAAAUCGAAAAACGGAACAGUGGCGGGCAAAUAUCGGGCGUAAAUUAAAUAAUAAGAGAAGAGAGGUGUCGCGUUGUCUGUUCAGCAGCGAUGAA